Molecule: unclassified non-coding RNA, 478 nt
Filed under: Furcasterigmium furcatum
Lineage: Eukaryota; Fungi; Ascomycota; Sordariomycetes; Glomerellales; Plectosphaerellaceae
Description: sequence contains 18S rRNA gene, ITS1, 5.8S rRNA gene, ITS2
Rfam family: 5.8S ribosomal RNA (bases 143-296)
Source: RNAcentral
CCGAGUGCUAUAACUCAUAACCCUUUGUGAACCUUUAUACCUGUUGCUUCGGCGGCGCGCCUCCCGGGGCGUGCCCGCCGGUAUCAUCAGAAUCUCUGUUCGAACCCGACGAUAUUUCUGAGUGUUCUAAGCGAACUGUUAAAACUUUCAACAACGGAUCUCUUGGCUCCAGCAUCGAUGAAGAACGCAGCGAAACGCGAUAUGUAAUGUGAAUUGCAGAAUUCAGUGAAUCAUCGAAUCUUUGAACGCACAUGGCGCCUUCCAGUAUCCUGGGAGGCAUGCCUGUCCGAGCGUCGUUUCAACCCUCGAGCCCCCGUGGCCCGGCGUUGGGGAUCUGCCCAGGCAGUCCCCGAAAACCAGUGGCGGACCCGUUACAGGCCCUUCCCUUGCGUAGUAGCAUUCGCCUCGCAUCGGGAGCCGGCGGGCUUCCAGCCUCUAAACCCCCAUCAAGUCCGCCCCGGCGGCACCAAGGUUGACC